UGUAAUCAAUCUGUCAAAAGGAUUCUAAUUCUUGCAGACGAAGGGAGAUAGUGAAGUUAGCUUUAGGGGUUUAGGGCACAUUCCAAGGUUAGGUUUUAUGCCUUUUGUUCUGGUUGUUCCGGCAUCUACUUCUCUCUCUGUCUUUGAUCUUUCGACAUGGACGAAUCUUAGACCAGUCUUCCUACCAGCCAUUUACUGGGUUCAGUUAUUUUAUGGGCUGGUUUGGAUCUCCACCACGUUGGUCAUUGUGCUUGCUCCGCUUGGGAACUGUGCCACCUACCUGAUAGUCACACGAAAUGAUAGCAGCACAUCCUGGAGCUUUGAUGUCAACUUUCUGAACUUCGCUGCAUGUGCAGUGUAUGGUUAUGCACUUCUGGUGCCUUUGGCAUUUUACUUUUUGAUUCAGUAUUUUGGAUCAAGUGCAAGUCUUGUUUGCUUCUGGUGUAUGUGGGGAUAUUCUUUCUUCAUCUUCAUCCUCAGUUUUGUUCUGUUUCUAAUCCCAGUUGAGAUCCUUAGGUGGAUCAUCAUAAUCCCCAUCGCUGUGGCUUCAACUUCCUUUGUUUCUCUGAACAUAAAGUCCUUCAUUGAGGCUGAUCUCAUGAUAGUGGUGGUGGCAGCAUUUGUUUUGCAAGUUACUCUGGCAGUUUUCAUCAAGAUCUGGUGCUUCCCAUUAACCUCAGACGCAUACUCAAUGGUAUCCUGAAAGAAAAAGAGAUGUAAACAGAUGGCAUCCAAUACAGGGAUAAUUGCUAUGUUCAUGUUCCACUUUGUAUUUUAUGUCCUGUGGUGGAAUCAAGGAAGCCAAAAGAGACGAAACUGCACUAUGACAAAUACUGGGAGUUGACGAAAUUGCAGUAUGACAAAUUCCAAUCAGGGUUCUCUUCAAGUUGAAGAUCAUCUCUGCAAUUCGAUCCCUUCUAAGCUUGAAAUCCUUUGGACGAUCAGAAGCAUCAACUAUGAUUGCAUAUUCAAUGAGUUUAAAAAAAUCAGAAUCUGCUUUGAAGAAUGGGGGCCAGUGACUUAGGGAAUGGGUUUUGGAAGACAUGAUGAGAAACAAUCGGAAGUGAUCAGUUAAGGAAAGGAUUGAAGAAGAACACACUUGUAAAAAGAAAUGAAUAGGACUGUAAUGAAGCCGUCACAUAUAAAUCGGAAGAAAAGCAUAGUUUCUAGUUCUAACCCAGCUCUGAUUACUUGAUAGGAGUGUUUUUCUAACAAAGUUGGUCAACAAGUCAACUUUUGGUUGCUUUUUUU
This is an RNA transcript of Macadamia integrifolia, 1251 nucleotides long. It is a transcript of the gene named protein YIPF1 homolog, with no coding region annotated. NCBI's taxonomy places the organism in Eukaryota, Viridiplantae, Streptophyta, Magnoliopsida, Proteales, Proteaceae. The transcript has 5 exons. The record is from RefSeq and is a predicted model, not a curated record.